This 340-nucleotide unclassified non-coding RNA is filed under the name soil metagenome. RNAcentral's name for it is "partial contains 5.8S ribosomal RNA, internal transcribed spacer 2, and large subunit ribosomal RNA". The stretch from base 1 to 120 matches the Rfam family "5.8S ribosomal RNA", at positions 35 to 154 of the family's 154-position model. The record is from RNAcentral.
GAUGAAGAACGCAGCGAAAUGCGAUACGUAAUGUGAAUUGCAGAAUUCAGUGAAUCAUCGAGUCUUUGAACGCACAUUGCGCCCCCUGGUAUUCCGGGGGGCAUGCCUGUCCGAGCGUCAUUUCAACCCUCAAGCACUGCUUGGCGUUGGCGGAUUGCGUGCCCUCGCGGCGCUGCAACCGCCCAAAUACAGUGGCGGUCCCGCUGCGGCUCCCUUUGCGUAGUAACUCACCUCGCACUGGACCGGGCGGCGGCCUGCCGUAAAACCCCAACUCACGAAAUGUUGACCUCGGAUCAGGUAGGAAUACCCGCUGAACUUAAGCAUAUCAAUAAGCGGAGGA